Wasmannia auropunctata (little fire ant) is the source of this 841-nucleotide long non-coding RNA. RefSeq lists it as uncharacterized. The transcript has 2 exons. Lineage: Eukaryota; Metazoa; Arthropoda; Insecta; Hymenoptera; Formicidae. The record is from RefSeq and is a predicted model, not a curated record.
GGUGUGACUAACUUCAAUAUUGUUGCGUGUUGCGUAGUUGUGAAAAUGUAAAUAAAUAACGUGCAUUAUCGUUAUAUUUUGCUUUAUUAUAUUAAAAAAGGCAAACGAUCUGCAGAGGCUCAUAGAAAGAUAUGCCGUGUAUAGGGGGAUGAUGAUUUAACCGAGAGCGCACAUGCCGAAAGUGGUUUGUCAAAUUCCGUUUUGGAGAUUUCGACGUCAAUGAUGCGCCUCGCUCUGGUCACUCGAGAUUGAUUCAAGUGACGUCAAGACCAUCAUCGAUAAAAAUCCAUGCCAAUCAGUACGGGAGAUUGUUACGGCACAGAAUAUAUUUCAUUGAAGCGUAGAAAACCAUUUGCGCUAGUUGGAAUACGUUUUUCAAGCUCAAUGUUUGGGUGCCGCAUAAAUUAACCGAGGCCAGAAUUUGAAUCAAUCUCGGUCGAGCGAUCGGAGUGGAGCGCAUCUUUGACGUCGAAAUCUCCAGAACAGAAUUUGACAAACUACUUUUGGCAUGUGCGCAUCUCCAUAUCGUUUGUCUUUUUUUAAAUAUCUAAUAGAGUAAAAUAUGACGUUAUUUAUUUCCAUUUUCACAGCUACGCAGCAUGCAACAAUAGCAAAGUUAGCCACAUCAAAAUUCAAUGACAGGUUGUGUAAAGCAAAAGUACAUUUGUUGUAUGUACAAUAGCGCCGAGAAAAAAAGAGUAAAUCGGAAUGAAUCUGCACUGAAAUUCUCAAGUCCUGAGGAAGAAUGAGGGCUUAGGCAAUAUUGAAAUAUAUUUUUAUAAAAACAAAAAAAACUUGUAGACAUGGUUCAACAAAGUAGUAAUACCAGUAAUAAAAUCAA